Molecule: long non-coding RNA, 442 nt
Organism: Peromyscus maniculatus bairdii (prairie deer mouse)
Lineage: Eukaryota; Metazoa; Chordata; Mammalia; Rodentia; Cricetidae
Source: RefSeq, a predicted model, not a curated record
UAUCUCCAAAUAUCAGGAAUGCGAACAAAGGGAGAGGCUGUUUCUCUGUCACGCCAACGUGCAGAAGGUUGGGGCCGCUGUGCGGCUUUCCUCUUACUCCUCAAGACUCAAGUUCCUGCUGUGAAAAUUAAUGUGGACAGCUGACUGGAAAACAGGAAGAGAGAAGGUGACACAUACCAGGGGCUGUCAUUGCCUGCUUCAGGAGAGAGGGGACAGAAUCGCUCAGAUUCAUUGCCUGAUACUCACAGCACAAGGAACUCCUCAGAUGGCCACUAGCUCUCUGCAGGACUCAAGUGCUUCCAUCAGCUAGCUCUAAGUUCGCCAAGGAUGCUUUGCUUCUGACACAUUCAUGACCAUGAUGCACUUAAUGUACAGAUAAACAUUACAUAAGGAUAAGACAAAUCAUGAGGGGCACAGCAUUCCUAUGAAAAGUGGACUAAAU